Long non-coding RNA from Notothenia coriiceps (black rockcod), 350 nucleotides. RefSeq lists it as uncharacterized. The transcript is spliced from 3 exons. The record is from RefSeq and is a predicted model, not a curated record. Lineage: Eukaryota; Metazoa; Chordata; Actinopteri; Perciformes; Nototheniidae.
UUCAAAGACAUUCAACUGAUAAGGCUCCUUUAUUUAUCUGUCGCCGUUAUGUGAACCCCACCGGCCUAAGUGUGCAUGAAGAAGAGAAGGCGGAAGCGAUGCUAUAGUGCGCGAGGCAUUUGGCUAAUCACAGCCACUAUAAGCGCCUUUCAAGACGGAUUUCUCUUAAACGAUCUUAUCAACUUUAAAGGGAUGCUGCGGAAUGAGAGCAUCGUGGGAGGAAGGCUCAGAGCGAACCUGCGGGUGGUGAAACACGAAUGGAGCUGCUUCCCGCAGAUGAGAGAGGCAAGCAGCGCGAUCCUCCCGACGUCCUUGACCGGGUUUCCGGUGCGCUGCUCCAUGCCCGCAAG